CAACCAACCAACCAACCUAUCCACCCACCCACUAACCAACUAACUAACCAGCCAACCUACUCCCCCAUACCCACCAACCAACUAACCAACCCACCCUCCCACCAACCAAUUAACCAGGCAACCCACUCACACCCCUCCCCUCCAACAACCAACAAACCAACCACCCCCUAUACAAACAGCUUUUGGUUGCACAUAACCAAAGCUGUUGUUGAGUGGGAAGUGGAGAUUGUCUAAUUAAUAAUCUGUUUUAUUCUUUUUCAGAUCACGUUGCACAGGGUACAUAAAGCUGAAUCAUCUGGGGGAAGUUUGCUAAAGACACAGAAUGCAAAGCCCCAUCUCACUCUUCUUGAAUCAGAAUGGCUGACUGUGGUGCUCAGGAAUUUGCAUGUUUAAUAAGUUUUCCCCGGGUGAUUCUAAUGAAUGCAACUUGAGUACUGUUUAGUAUAUGCUGAGUAUACCUGGAGCUUUGAUGUGCUGCAGGGAUUAGAAGAGUUUUCUGAUUUUGACCUUCCCAUUUUGAAAUAAGUAGAUUCACCAUUUUUUUUUUUUUUGGGAUGGAGUCUCACUCUGUCGCCCAGGCUGGAGUGCAGCGGCGCGAUCUCUACUCACUCACUGCAACCUCUGCCUCCUGGGUUCAAGAGAUUCUUCUGCCUCAGCCUCCUGAGUAGAGAUGGAGUUUCGCCAUGCUGGCCAGGCUGGUCUCGAACUCCUGACCUCGUGAUCCACCCACCUCGGCCUCCCAAAGUGCUAGGAUUACAAGCCUGGUGACCAAGUGGCUUAUUGUCCAUGAAGGGAGGUUUGUAAGAGGAAGGGAGGCUUGCUGGAGUACAGUGGCACAAUCUUGGCUCACUGCAACUUCUGCCUCCUGGGUUCAAGCAAUUCUCCUGCCUUAGCCUCCCGAGUAGCUGGGAUUACAGGCACCUGCCACCACCCCUGGCUAAUUUUUCACUGCGCAGGGCCAAGGAAAGUACCUGGACCAUGUGUGUUGAAGAAAUGAAGAUGGAGGUGGCACUGGAGUUCUUUAGCAAUGCUAGAGGCACAGGACCUGGGAGCCAGGAUUUACAGGCUGGGUAGCACUCACACCCUUGACUGCAGCUCAGAAUCAGCUGGGGUGCUUUUGAGAGAAAUGAUUCCUAGGCUCCAGCUCAUACCACUUAUGGGUCUAGAAAUCUGUACAGAUGCUCCUCGACUUAUGGUUGGGGUUUCAUUUCAAUAAACCUAUCAUAAGUCAAAAAUGGAUUUAAUAUUUUGAUAAACCCAUUGUAAAGUCAAAAAGUUAUAAGUAGAGCCAGCGGGGAC
Molecule: long non-coding RNA, 1299 nt
Filed under: Homo sapiens (human)
Lineage: Eukaryota; Metazoa; Chordata; Mammalia; Primates; Hominidae
Description: HSALNT0309582
Source: RNAcentral